AUGAGGAUCACCAAACAAUGCAACCUGCCACUUUCUUUGGGUAAGCAUUAUCGCUCAAAUGUGUUGUGUGAUGUAGUUGACAUGGAUGCCAGCCAUGUUCUUCUUGGGAGGCCUUGGCAAUUUGAUGUGGAUACUACACACAAGGGCAAGGAAAAUUCUUACUCUUUCAUUUGGAACAAGAGAAAGAUCAUUAUCUUACCAAACAAAACCGAAGGUAAUACCUCUAAGGAGGAGGGGAAAACUAUGUUAACUAUCUCCCAUACCUCUCAUGAGUUUAUGGAAGACUUGAAGGAGGCAGAUUUGUGUGCUGCACUUGUUGUAAAAGGAGAAGAGCACCUGACUGUUGAAAUUCCAGCAAAGGUACGUGGUUUAUUGGCAGAAUUUCACAACAUACUUGGAGAGCCACAAGGCCUGCUGUCGGUGUCAAAACUGGCGGAUCUCAGGUAG
This 447-nucleotide ribosomal RNA is filed under the name Triticum aestivum (bread wheat). RNAcentral's name for it is "partial small subunit ribosomal RNA". The record is from RNAcentral. Lineage: Eukaryota; Viridiplantae; Streptophyta; Magnoliopsida; Poales; Poaceae.